This 331-nucleotide long non-coding RNA is filed under the name Homo sapiens (human). RNAcentral's name for it is "long non-coding RNA NONHSAT117353.2". Lineage: Eukaryota; Metazoa; Chordata; Mammalia; Primates; Hominidae. The record is from RNAcentral.
AAAAAAAAAAAAAAAAAAACUUACAUCCCUUCUCCCCACCAUCCUGUUAUCACAGGAGAUCUAUAAGGACAGGCAGAAAUUCUCAGAACAGGUUUUCAAAGUGGCCUCCUCAGACCUGGUCAACAUGGGCAUCAGUGUGGUUAGCUACACUCUGAAGGACAUUCACGAUGACCAGGACUAUUUGCACUCUUUGGGGAAGGCUCGAACAGCUCAAGUCCAAAAAGAUGCACGGAUUGGAGAAGCAGAGGCCAAGAGAGAUGCUGGGAUCCGGGAAGCUAAAGCCAAGCAGGAAAAGGUGUCUGCUCAGUACCUGAGUGAGAUCGAGAUGGCC